Molecule: ribosomal RNA, 950 nt
Filed under: uncultured bacterium
Lineage: Bacteria
Description: bacterial SSU rRNA
Rfam family: Bacterial small subunit ribosomal RNA
Source: RNAcentral
GAGUUUGAUCCUGGCUCAGAUUGAACGCUGGCGGCAGGCCUAACACAUGCAAGUCGAGCGCGAAAGCACUUCGGUGUGAGUAGAGCGGCGGACGGGUGAGUAACGCGUAGGAAUCUACCUGGUAGUGGGGGACAACUCGGGGAAACUCGAGCUAAUACCGCAUACGCCCUACGGGGGAAAGCGGGGGACCUUCGGGCCACGCGCUAUCAGAUGAGCCUGCGUUGGAUUAGCUAGUUGGUGGGGUAAUGGCCUACCAAGGCGACGAUCCAUAGCUGGUCUGAGAGGAUGAUCAGCCACACCGGGACUGAGACACGGCCCGGACUCCUACGGGAGGCAGCAGUGGGGAAUAUUGCGCAAUGGGCGAAAGCCUGACGCAGCCAUGCCGCGUGUGUGAAGAAGGCCUUCGGGUUGUAAAGCACUUUCAAUUGGGAGGAAAGGUUCACGGCUAAUACCCGUGAGCUGUGACGUUACCUUUAGAAGAAGCACCGGCUAACUCCGUGCCAGCAGCCGCGGUAAUACGGAGGGUGCGAGCGUUAAUCGGAAUUACUGGGCGUAAAGCGCGCGUAGGUGGUCUGUUAAGUUGGAUGUGAAAGCCCCGGGCUCAACCUGGGAACUGCACCCGAUACUGGCAGACUAGAGUGCGAGAGAGGGAGGUAGAAUUCCAUGUGUAGCGGUGAAAUGCGUAGAUAUGUGGAGGAAUACCAGUGGCGAAGGCGGCCUCCUGGCUCGGCACUGACACUGAGGUGCGAAAGCGUGGGGAGCAAACAGGAUUAGAUACCCUGGUAGUCCACGCCGUAAACGAUGUCUACUAGCUGUAGGGGUACUUGAGACCUUUGUAGCGCAGCUAACGCACUAAGUAGACCGCCUGGGGAGUACGGCCGCAAGGUUAAAACUCAAAUGAAUUGACGGGGGCCCGCACAAGCAGUGGAGCAUGUGGUUUAUUCGAUGCA